CCAGACUCCUACGGGAGGCAGCAGUGGGGAAUAUUGGACAAUGGACCGAGAGUCUGAUCCAGCAAUUCUGUGUGCACGAUGAAGUUUUUCGGAAUGUAAAGUGCUUUCAGUUGGGAAGAAAUAAAUGACGGUACCAACAGAAGAAGUGACGGCUAAAUACGUGCCAGCAGCCGCGGUAAUACGUAUGUCACAAGCGUUAUCCGGAUUUAUUGGGCGUAAAGCGCGUCUAGGUGGUUAUAUAAGUCUGAUGUGAAAAUGCAGGGCUCAACUCUGUAUUGCGUUGGAAACUGUGUAACUAGAGUACUGGAGAGGUAAGCGGAACUACAAGUGUAGAGGUGAAAUUCGUAGAUAUUUGUAGGAAUGCCGAUGGGGAAGCCAGCUUACUGGACAGAUACUGACGCUAAAGCGCGAAAGCGUGGGUAGCAAACAGGAUUAGAUACCCUGGUAGUCCACGCUGUAAACGAUGAUUACUAGGUGUUGGGGGUCGAACCUCAGCGCCCAAGCAAACGCGAUAAGUAAUCCGCCUGGGGAGUACGUACGCAAGUAUGAAACUCAAAGGAAUUGACGGGGGCCCGCACAAG
Molecule: ribosomal RNA, 581 nt
Filed under: uncultured bacterium
Lineage: Bacteria
Description: bacterial SSU rRNA
Rfam family: Bacterial small subunit ribosomal RNA
Source: RNAcentral